AGAGUUUGAUCCUGGCUCAGAACGAACGCCGGCGGCGUGCUUAACACAUGCAAGUCGAACGCGAAAGCCUGGGCAACCGGGCGAGUAGAGUGGCGAACGGGUGAGUAAUACGUGAGUAACCUACCCUUGAGUGGGGAAUAACUCCUCGAAAGGGGAGCUAAUACCGCAUAAGACCACGACUUCUUCGGGAGUUGCGGUCAAAGGUGGCCUCAUCUAUACAGAGCGUUUGGGCACAGAUUCGGCUCGCGAUGGCAAGAAUCUGUACCCCAGCGCUUUGUCAGUGAAGCUAUCGCUUGAGGAGGGGCUCGCGGCCCAUCAGCUAGUUGGUAGGGUAACGGCCUACCAAGGCGACGACGGGUAGCUGGUCUGAGAGGACGACCAGCCACACGGGAAUUGAGAUACGGUCCCGACUCCUACGGGAGGCAGCAGUGGGGAAUCUUGGGCAAUGGGGGCAACCCUGACCCAGCGACGCCGCGUGGGGGAUGAAGGCCUUCGGGUUGUAAACCCCUGUUCGGUGGGACGAACAUUCUCCCAUGAAUAGUGGGAGAAUUUGACGGUACCACCAGAGUAAGCCCCGGCUAACUCCGUGCCAGCAGCCGCGGUAAUACGGAGGGGGCAAGUGUUGUUCGGAAUUACUGGGCGUAAAGGGCGCGCAGGCGGCUUGGCAAGUCGAGUGUGAAAGCCCUCAGCUUAACUGAGGAAUGGCGCUCGAAACUACCUCGCUUGAGGGCGGGAGAGGGAAGUGGAACUCUCGGUGUAGGGGUGAAAUCUGUAGAUAUCGAGAGGAACACCGGUGGCGAAGGCGGCUUCCUGGCCCGUACCUGACGCUGAGGCGCGAAAGCGUGGGGAGCAAACAGGAUUAGAUACCCCCGUAGUCC
RNAcentral lists this ribosomal RNA (878 nucleotides) under uncultured bacterium. RNAcentral's name for it is "bacterial SSU rRNA". It matches the Rfam family "Bacterial small subunit ribosomal RNA", at positions 8 to 796 of the family's 1533-position model. The record is from RNAcentral.